CAGUCGCCGCGGGAAUACAGAGGGUGCGAGCGUUAAUCGGAUUUACUGGGCGUAAAGCGUGCGUAGGCGGCUUCUUAAGUCGGAUGUGAAAUCCCUGAGCUUAACUUAGGAAUUGCAUUCGAUACUGGGAAGCUAGAGUAUGGGAGAGGAUGGUAGAAUUCCAGGUGUAGCGGUGAAAUGCGUAGAGAUCUGGAGGAAUACCGAUGGCGAAGGCAGCCAUCUGGCCUAAUACUGACGCUGAGGUACGAAAGCAUGGGGAGCAAACAGGAUUAGAUACCCCAGUAGUUCCUGUCUCUUAUAC
RNAcentral lists this ribosomal RNA (301 nucleotides) under uncultured bacterium. Its description in RNAcentral is "partial 16S ribosomal RNA". It matches the Rfam family "Bacterial small subunit ribosomal RNA", at positions 509 to 807 of the family's 1533-position model. The record is from RNAcentral.